CGUAGGGUGCGAGCGUUGUCCGGAUUUAUUGGGCGUAAAGGGCUCGUAGGCGGUUGAUCGCGUCGGAAGUGGAAACUUGAUGCUUAACGUUGAGCGUGCUUUCGAUACGGGUUGACUUGAGGAAGGUAGGGGAGAAUGGAAUUCCUGGUGGAGCGGUGGAAUGCGCAGAUAUCAGGAGGAACACCAGUGGCGAAGGCGGUUCUCUGGACCUUUCCUGACGCUGAGGAGCGAAAGCGUGGGGAGCGAACAGGCUU
Molecule: ribosomal RNA, 254 nt
Filed under: uncultured bacterium
Lineage: Bacteria
Description: partial 16S ribosomal RNA
Rfam family: Bacterial small subunit ribosomal RNA
Source: RNAcentral